UAAUAGUGUAUAUUAAAGUUGUUGCAGUUAAAAAGCUCGUAGUUGAAUGUUGGUGUCGAACGAGCGGUCAGCUUCGGCUGUACUGCUCUCUCAACUCCUUCCUUCUGUGGACUACGUCGCACUUUACUGUGUGGCGCUAGGACGCAGAUCGUUUACUGUGAAAAAAUUAGAGUGUUCAAAGCAGGCCGUACGCUUGAAUACAUUAGCAUGGAAUAAUGGAAUAGGACGUCGGGCCUAUUUUGUUGGUUCUAGGACCGUCGUAAUGAUUAAUAGGGACAGUUGGGGCCGUUUAUAUUCCGUAGUCAGAGGUGAAAUUCUUGGAUUUACGGAAGAUAAACUACUGCGAAAGCAUUCGGCAAGGAUGUUUUCGUUAA
RNAcentral lists this ribosomal RNA (374 nucleotides) under uncultured eukaryote. Its description in RNAcentral is "partial 18S ribosomal RNA". It matches the Rfam family "Eukaryotic small subunit ribosomal RNA", at positions 592 to 976 of the family's 1831-position model. The record is from RNAcentral.